RNAcentral lists this ribosomal RNA (478 nucleotides) under uncultured bacterium. RNAcentral's name for it is "bacterial SSU rRNA". It matches the Rfam family "Bacterial small subunit ribosomal RNA", at positions 28 to 523 of the family's 1533-position model. The record is from RNAcentral.
GAUAAACGCUGGCGGCGUGCAUGAGACAUGCAAGUCGAACGGACGACCCCGGGCUUGCCUGGGGAAGUUAGUGGCGGACGGCUGAGUAACGCGUGGGUGACCUGCCCGGAAGUGGGGAAUAACUGCCCGAAAGGGUGGCUAAUACCGCAUGUGGUCACACGUUCAUUCGUGUGAUCAAAGCAGCAAUGCGCUACCGGAGGGGCCUGCGUUCGAUUAGCUCGUUGGUGAGGUAACGGCUCACCAAGGCGACGAUCGAUAGGUGGUCUGAGAGGACGAUCACCCAGACUGGGACUGAGACACGGCCCAGACUCCUACGGGAGGCAGCAGUCGGGAAUUUUGCUCAAUGGGCGCAAGCCUGAAGCAGCAACGCCGCGUGAGGGAUGAAGGCCUUCGGGUUGUAAACCUCUUUUCUCAGGGACGAUAAUGACGGUACCUGAGGAAUAAGCCACGGCUAACUACGUGCCAGCAGCCGCGGUAA